Molecule: non-coding RNA, 225 nt
Organism: Biomphalaria pfeifferi
Lineage: Eukaryota; Metazoa; Mollusca; Gastropoda; Planorbidae
Source: the annotation of a GenBank genome assembly
UCUGAUGAUUGGCCUACGGAACAAUAUGGAAGUCAUGAAAAUCCAAAUAUUAAAUAAGAAAUGUCAACAUUACAUUAAUAAAAAGUUGAAAUGUGAAAUUAAUUCAACAUUAAAACAUAAUUUUAUCUUUUUCUAGGCCAUGAACAAGUUGUAAGGGAUACAAUUUAUAUAUCAUUUAGGGUGGGUGGGGGCUAAUUUUUAAAAUGAAAAACAUAUUUUUCAUGC